GCGUGCGAUCAUACCAGCACUAAUGCACCGGAUCCCAUCAAAACUCCGAAGUUAAACGUGCUUGGGCGAGAGUAGUACUAAGAUGGGUGACCUCUUGGGAAGUCCUCGUGUUGCACCCC
RNAcentral lists this ribosomal RNA (119 nucleotides) under Ricinus communis (castor bean). Lineage: Eukaryota; Viridiplantae; Streptophyta; Magnoliopsida; Malpighiales; Euphorbiaceae. The record is from RNAcentral.